Non-coding RNA from Oncorhynchus mykiss (rainbow trout), 1278 nucleotides. NCBI's taxonomy places the organism in Eukaryota, Metazoa, Chordata, Actinopteri, Salmoniformes, Salmonidae. The record is from RefSeq and is a predicted model, not a curated record.
GUCUGUUCCCACUCUGAUGACUUCUCCCAUCACUCGGGGUAUGAAAAGGAGGUCCUUAGCCCUGGUGAUGGAGGCUGCUGCAGCUACAGGACUACCUGUGUCUUUAGUUAAGAACUGGAUUUGUAACUAUGGGUGUUCACUUAAUACCUCCUGCAACACCCGGCGCCACAAAGCUGCUGGUUAUAAGUGCAGUGUCUGCCUAUAACUUGUUUUGCGCAGAGCUGCUGAAGGGGAAAGACUUUCCUUUCUCUAUAUAUUUCAGUCCUUCUACCGUCUCUCUGAAUUCUCUCUCUUUCCCAGGGCAUGGAGGGAUAUCAACAUCUCAUUCUUGAUGACAGCACCACUGUACAUUCCACAACUGGAGUGAUUUCACAUAUUUUCAGGGCACAAGAAUGGGAUUUAAGGAGAGCCAUAGAGAGAGGGAGAGAGGGAGAGGGAGCGAGAGCGAGAGAGAGAGAGAGAGAGAGAGAGAAAGUAAGUAAGUAAGUACUGGGUGACAUCUCCUGUCUCUCCCUAUCUAUGUUUCCACGUGGUGGCCUGGGCUAGCCCCCUGCUGACUCACACUCGUUUGUUGAUCUAAUGUGACUACCAUCCACUUCACCCCCCCUUUCUUCUACCCCCACUCCUCCGAAAGACCGCUUGGCCGUUCCACGAAAAGAGCGCAUUUGGAUAUUUUAAGUAGAAAUUUAAAACCCUGUUAUAUUAAAUGAAGGGGGGGUGAAGUCCUUUAAUAUAGACUACAUGAAUAAAGGCUUGCUAAAGUGUCAAAAUUCAGCAUUUUGACUUCUAGGAAGAUUUGAACCUACUUAAUCACAACACUUCUCAGUUUCACCCUAGUAAUUUUGUUGCUUUGACAAAGUAAUUUCUGAAGAUUAGUAUGUAUUUAAUGUGACUAGUGAUUUAUUUACAUCUGUCCCUCCUUUAAAGGUCAACUUGUUACUCUCCUUUUAAUAUGGUGAAACUAUUCAUUUUGAGAAAAAAAAAUUCAAAAGAAACAUUGAACAUCCAAUAGUCAAAUCGUUGCGUAAAAGCAGUUCAGCUGGUUCUUCUUUUUUUGUGCCAAUUUUCUGUUAUUUUGUGGUGGAAAACUGAGCUGGUCGAGCAUAGCACAUCAACCCUGUUACCCAUAGAUAAGCUAGAAAUGUUUAAACAGUUUCAUUUGUUUUUUUGUGAAGCUUGCAUUCAAUUGCCACUCCCUGUUGCACAUAACAAGCUUCCAUUCCUCCUGUCACAAGGGGAUUUAUGUAUGAUUUAAUUAAGAAUAAAUAGUCAACCCUG